UACAGAGGUCUCAACCGUUGUUCGGAUUCAUUGGGCGUAAAGGGUGCGUAGGUGGCGCGGUAAGUCGGGUGUGAAAUCUCGGAGCUUAACUCCGAAAUUGCAUUCGAUACUGCCGUGCUCGAGGACUGGAGAGGAGACUGGAAUUCAUGGUGUAGCAGUGAAAUGCGUAGAGAUCAUGAGGAAGACCAGUGGCGAAGGCGGGUCUCUGGACAGUUCCUGACACUGAGGCACGAAGGCCAGGGGAGCAAACGGG
RNAcentral lists this ribosomal RNA (253 nucleotides) under uncultured bacterium. RNAcentral describes it as "partial 16S ribosomal RNA". It matches the Rfam family "Bacterial small subunit ribosomal RNA", at positions 524 to 776 of the family's 1533-position model. The record is from RNAcentral.